GACGAACGCUGGCGGCGUGCUUAACACAUGCAAGUCGAGCGGUAAGGCCCUUUCGGGGGUACACGAGCGGCGAACGGGUGAGUAACACGUGGGUGACCUGCCCUCAGCUCUGGGAUAAGCCUGGGAAACCGGGUCUAAUACUGGAUAUGACUCCAUGACGCAUGUUGUGGGGUGGAAAGCCUUGUGCGGCUGAGGAUGGGCCCGCGGCCUAUCAGCUUGUUGGUGGGGUGAUGGCCUACCAAGGCGACGACGGGUAGCCGGCCUGAGAGGGCGACCGGCCACACUGGGACUGAGACACGGCCCAGACUCCUACGGGAGGCAGCAGUGGGGAAUCUUGCGCAAUGGGCGAAAGCCUGACGCAGCGACGCCGCGUGAGGGAUGACGGCCUGGUGUAAG
RNAcentral lists this ribosomal RNA (396 nucleotides) under uncultured bacterium. Its description in RNAcentral is "bacterial SSU rRNA". It matches the Rfam family "Bacterial small subunit ribosomal RNA", at positions 28 to 429 of the family's 1533-position model. The record is from RNAcentral.